GUGGGUAUAACUCAGUGGUAGAUCCCAUGCUUGCCAUGCACAAGGUCCUAGGUUCAAACCCUAGUACCUCCA
This 72-nucleotide transfer RNA is filed under the name Camelus bactrianus (Bactrian camel). It matches the Rfam family "tRNA". Rfam says of the family: Transfer RNA (tRNA) molecules are approximately 80 nucleotides in length. Their secondary structure includes four short double-helical elements and three loops (D, anti-codon, and T loops). Further hydrogen bonds mediate the characteristic L-shaped molecular structure. tRNAs have two regions of fundamental functional importance: the anti-codon, which is responsible for specific mRNA codon recognition, and the 3' end, to which the tRNAs corresponding amino acid is attached (by aminoacyl-tRNA synthetases). tRNAs cope with the degeneracy of the genetic code in two manners: having more than one tRNA (with a specific anti-codon) for a particular amino acid; and 'wobble' base-pairing, i.e. permitting non-standard base-pairing at the 3rd anti-codon position. RNAcentral also lists the same sequence under 2 other names. Lineage: Eukaryota; Metazoa; Chordata; Mammalia; Artiodactyla; Camelidae. The record is from Rfam by way of RNAcentral.